UACGUAGGGUGCGAGCGUUAAUCGGAAUUACUGGGCGUAAAGCGUGCGCAGGCGGCGCGUUAAGACAGGUGUGAAAGCCCCGAGCUUAACUUGGGAAUUGCGCUUGUGACUGGCGUGCUGGAGUGUGGCAGAGGGAGGUGGAAUUCCACGUGUAGCAGUGAAAUGCGUAGAGAUCCGGAGGAACCCCAGAGGCGAAGGCGGCGCACUGGCUCGCAACUGACGCUCAGACACGCAAGCAUGGGGAGCGAACGGG
Molecule: ribosomal RNA, 253 nt
Filed under: uncultured bacterium
Lineage: Bacteria
Description: partial 16S ribosomal RNA
Rfam family: Bacterial small subunit ribosomal RNA
Source: RNAcentral